UACGAAGGGUGCAAGCGUUACUCGGAAUUACUGGGCGUAAAGCGUGCGUAGGUGGUUGUUUAAGUCUGUUGUGAAAGCCCUGGGCUCAACCUGGGAAUUGCAGUGGAUACUGGGCGACUAGAGUGUGGUAGAGGGUAGUGGAAUUCCCGGUGUAGCAGUGAAAUGCGUAGAGAUCGGGAGGAACAUCCAUGGCGAAGGCAGCUACCUGGACCAACACUGACACUGAGGCACGAAAGCGUGGGGAGCAAACAGGAUUAGAUACC
This 263-nucleotide ribosomal RNA is filed under the name uncultured bacterium. Its description in RNAcentral is "partial 16S ribosomal RNA". It matches the Rfam family "Bacterial small subunit ribosomal RNA", at positions 524 to 786 of the family's 1533-position model. The record is from RNAcentral.